UGGGGAAUUGUUCGCAAUGGGCGCAAGCCUGACGACGCAACGCCGCGUGGAGGAUGAAGACCUUCGGGUCGUAAACUCCUUUCGACCGAGAAGAAUGGCCCACGACCUCAUACGUCGUGGGCAUGACGGUAUCGAGGGAAGAAGCCCCGGCUAACUCUGUGCCAGCAGCCGCGGUAAUACAGGGGGGGCAAGCGUUGUUCGGAAUUACUGGGCGUAAAGGGUCUGUAGGUGGCCAACUAAGUCAAACGUGAAAUCCCUCAGCUUAACUGGGGAACUGCGUCUGAUACUGGAUGGCUCGAGUGUGGGAGAGGAAUGCGGAAUUCCAGGUGUAGCGGUGAAAUGCGUAGAUAUCUGGAGGAACACCGGUGGCGAAGGCGGCAUUCUGGACCACAACUGACACUGAGAGACGAAAGCCAGGGGAGCAAACGG
RNAcentral lists this ribosomal RNA (429 nucleotides) under uncultured bacterium. Its description in RNAcentral is "bacterial SSU rRNA". It matches the Rfam family "Bacterial small subunit ribosomal RNA", at positions 355 to 775 of the family's 1533-position model. The record is from RNAcentral.